This 440-nucleotide ribosomal RNA is filed under the name uncultured bacterium. Its description in RNAcentral is "partial 16S ribosomal RNA". It matches the Rfam family "Bacterial small subunit ribosomal RNA", at positions 338 to 795 of the family's 1533-position model. The record is from RNAcentral.
CCUACGGGAGGCAGCAGUGGGGAAUAUUGCACAAUGGGGGCAACCCUGAUGCAGCGACGCCGCGUGAGUGAAGAAGUAAUUCGUUAUGUAAAGCUCUAUCAGUAGGGAAGAAAAUUACGGUACCUGAGUAAGAAGCUCCGGCUAACUACGUGCCAGCAGCCGCGGUAAUACGUCGGGGGCCAGCGUUAUCCGGAUUUACUGGGUGUAAAGGGAGCGUAGACGGGAGUGCAAGUCUGGAGUGAAAGGCUGGGGCUCAACCCCCGGAUUGCUCUGGAAACUGUACGGCUGGAGUACAGGAGAGGUAAGUGGAAUUCGUAGUGUAGCGGUGAAAUGCGUAGAUAUCAGGAGGAACACCAGUGGCGAAGGCAGCUUACUGGACUGUAACUGACGUUGAGGCUCGAAAGCGUGGGGAGCAAACAGGAUUAGAUACCCUAGUAGUC